RNAcentral lists this long non-coding RNA (3311 nucleotides) under Macaca mulatta (Rhesus monkey). RNAcentral describes it as "lncRNA (ENSMMUG00000064251.1)". The record is from RNAcentral. Lineage: Eukaryota; Metazoa; Chordata; Mammalia; Primates; Cercopithecidae.
CAGAAGGAGUUUCUUUGCUGCUUCCCUUUUCAGAAACUUGGAGACCAUAUAUCUUUGCAAAGUGGAUUUUUAAAAAUAAAACAAAGAAGAAAAGAUUAAACCAGAGAAGCUCCCAAGUUUUCUGCCUUCUGCCUGGACCAGCUUCCUGUGCUUCUUCCUUUCCAAAAUUGAUGUGGUAAAUGUUAUUGCAGUAGUACUGGCUCAGAAAAGCCCAGGCCUUCCAAGAAUGCAACCUUCAUGGAGAAAUUCUGCGACUCUUUCUCCUCUGGGGAGGCUGGAGAGUUCACCAUACUGAAUAUUCACACCUUGCACCAUGAACCCAGGUAAGGCACCUAUGUAUGAUCAUCCAAGCCAGGACCAGGGUGAGAUUAUGAUCAACUCACUCUCUCUGGAUAAGUCCUUCCUCAGCCUCCCUCGCAUCAAUUCAGCAUCAGCAAGGUGCAGAACUCGUCUGCUGCCUAGAGAUUGCCUCAGAGGUCUUGCAAGGGGAGAAAUGUCCACCCAUGGAAACCGCCUACACACGGCCCUCCACCUUAUCUUUCUGUCUUGUGAUGACCUUGUUGGAGAUGGCAGCACCAAAGAUGGUUAGAGCCUGGAUGCCUGCAUGACUGCACGGAGCAGAGCCCUCUCACUCCACCACUGGUGCCCCCUAAUGGACUGCUAGGUGAGUGCAAGACAACCUUGUGUCAAGUCACUAAGAAUUUGAGGGUGUUUUUCAUAACACUUAGCCCUUCUUGACUUUAACAGUCAGCCAGACCACCACAGGGAUUUUGUAACUUUCUGUGGCUUUAGAUUGUUUGAAAGUUUCAUGAAAUGAGAGAAUGACAGGAGACAGUCUCUAAAGCCCUUCUCAGCUCAGACAUUCAAGGUGGCUCACUGCUUGCUAAUAUGUAGUUAAGAAAUGCCCCGUACCCUCCUGGGAACCUGUGAGCCAGCAAUCCUAGAGAAGCCUUCAGAGGGGCCUGAGAAUACCACCUAGUCUCUCUCAUCCUCUGGGCUUCCUCCCCUGGGCCAGCCCAGCAGCAACUCUCCAGUUUCCCACCAGGUCAACAUUUAGGAGACAGAGAGUGUGAGAGAGUCACUAAAGCUCCAGAUCACGUGACUGAGCCAGAGUGACUGAGUAUGUGUGUGCCAGUGUGCAGGGAGGGGCCAGUGUGUAGGGAGGGGCUGCAGCUAAGUUGCUUUGCAGAUAUUUAUUUGUAGAUUUCUUUUUCUUAAACAGUUGUGGAGAGGUGUAGUUGUGGAGAGCUGAAGCUAAUCUCCAUAUUUCUGGGUGCUGGCAGACACUAUGUCAGUCAGAAACACCUGCAGUGAUGGCUGGCUUCUCUGUCCCCCUGCUCUCUCUCUCCCUGCAGACCUCUUUCCUUUUAUCCUGAGGCAUCUUCACAAGUGCUGACCCAGGGAAUGUGCUUGCCAUGAGCCAUUGGAUUCUGUCAGAGAUGGAAGGGACCUACCCAGGGGAUCGUCUUUCUGGAGAUGCAGAAAAGGAGAAAGGGAGAAGGGAGAAAGUGAAGUGGGGGAGGGAAGAAAGGUAGGGAAAGGGAGGCAGGCAGGAGGCAGGGAGGAGAGGAGGGACGUUCAUGUGAACUGGGUCCCUGCAGGGUACAUUAGCAGAUCCCAUUAACUACAGCCAAACAGAACUGGGUCCAACUCCUCCUUAAGCCAACUACUGAGUGAUGUCAGAAAAAUUUCAAAACUUUAGUUACACAUCUUAUAAUGGAGAUUGCCCAGGGAUGGUGGCUCCCACCUGGCUUACUCCUGUAAUCCCAGGAGGCUAAGGCAAGAGAAUUGCUUGAUGAGAGUUCAAGACCAGCUUGGGCAACAAAGCAAGACCUCCCCCCUACAAAAAAUGAUAAUAAUAAAUGGGGAUUAUACUAGCUACCUCUUAGUGAUGUGAGGAUUAAAUGAGAUAAUGUACGUAAAGCCCAUGUUGGCCGAUAGAGGUGCUUAACGAAGAGCAGUUACAGUUGUCCCUUGGGAUCCAUAGAGGAUUGGUUCUAGGACACUUUAUGGACACGAAAAUCUGCAGAUGAGCAAGGCCCUUAUAUAGAAUGGCAUAGGAUUCACUUAUAACCUAUGCAUAUCCUCCUGUAUUGCUUAACAAUGGGGAUAUAUUUUGAGAACUGUGAUGUUAGGUGAUUUUGUCAUUGUGCAAACAUUAUAGAGCAAGGGUCCCCAACCCCUGGGCCACAGACCAGUACCAGUGUGUGGCCUGUUAGCAACCAGGGCUCACAGCAGGAAGAGAGCAGCAGACAAGCCAGGGAAGCUUCAUCUGUAUUUACAGCCACUCUCCACCAUUUGCAUUACUGCCUGAGCUCUGCCUCCUGUCAGAUCAGCAGUGGCAUCAAAUCCUCAUGGGAGCACAAACCCUAUUGUGGACUACACAUGCCAGGGAUCUAGGUUGCACCUUCCUUAUGAGAAUCUAAUGCCUGAUGAUCUGUCACUGUCUCCCAUUACCCCUAGAUGGGAAUGUUUAGUUGCAGGAAAACAAACUCAGGGCUCCCACAGAUUCUACUUUAUGGUGAGUUGUAGAAUUAUUUCAUUAUAUAUUAAUAUUACAAUGUAAUAAUAAUAGAAAUAAAGUGCACAAUAAAUGUAAUGUGCUUGAAUCAUCCUGAAACCAUCCCCUCCCCCAACCUUAUUCGUGGAAAAAUUAUCUUCCAUGAAACUGGUCCCUGGUGCCAAAAAGGUUGGGGACCACUGUUGUAGAGUGUACUUACUCAAACCUAGAUGACACAUAACCUACUACACACCUAGGCUAUAUGGUAUAGCCUAUUGCUCCUAGGCUACAAAUCUUUACAGCGUAAUACUGUAAGCAACUGUAAUACAAUGGUAAGUAUUUCUGCAUCCAAACAUAGAAAAGGUAAAGAAAAAAUAUGAUAAUAUAACUUUGGCCAGGCACGAUGGCUCAUACCCAUAAUCCUGGCACUUUGGGAGGCCAAGGUGGGCAGAACCCUUGUGCCCAGGAAUUCAAGACCAGCCUGGUCAGCAUGGCAAAAUGCCGUCUCUGCAAAAAACACAAAAAUUAACUGGGCAUGGUGACACACGUCUGUAGUCCCAGCUGAGGCAGGACGAUCACCUGAACCUUGGAGGUCGAGGCUCCAGUGAGCUGUGGUUGCACCACUGCACUCCAGCCUGGGUGACAAAGUGAAACCUUGUCUCAAAUAAUAAUGAUCAUCAUCAAAAUCACCAUCAUCAUCAUCAUCAUCAUCAUCAUCAUCAUCUUAUGGGACCACUGUUAUGGAUGAGGUUCAUAAUUGACUGAAACAUCACUGUACGGCACAUGACUGUACUUUAAAUCAUCUCUGGAU